AGCGUAGACGGCACGGCAAGCCAGAUGUGAAAGCCCGGGGCUCAACCCCGGGACUGCAUUUGGAACUGCUGAGCUAGAGUGUCGGAGAGGCAAGUGGAAUUCCUAGUGUAGCGGUGAAAUGCGUAGAUAUUAGGAGGAACACCAGUGGCGAAGGCGGCUUGCUGGACGAUGACUGACGUUGUAGGACUCGAAAGGCGUGGGAAGGCAAACA
RNAcentral lists this ribosomal RNA (211 nucleotides) under uncultured bacterium. Its description in RNAcentral is "partial 16S ribosomal RNA". It matches the Rfam family "Bacterial small subunit ribosomal RNA", at positions 568 to 774 of the family's 1533-position model. The record is from RNAcentral.